UUUUUUGAGAGUUUGAUCCUGGCUCAGGAUGAACGCUGGCGGCGUGGAUAAGGCAUGCAAGUCGAGUGGGUUUAGGCCCACGGCAAACGGGUUAGUAAUGCAUAGGAACGUACCCUGAAGUCGUGAAUAACUUGGAGAAAUCCAAGAUAAUACACGAUAAUCUCUACGGAGUAAAGAUUUAUCGCUUCAGGAGCGGCCUGUGUCCUAUCAGCUUGUUGGUAGUGUAAAGGACUACCAAGGCUAUGACGGGUAGGGGGCGUGAGAGCGUGACCCCCAACAUUGGGACUGAGACACUGCCCAAACACCUACGGGUGGCUGCAGUCGAGAAUAUUCCACAAUGGGCGAAAGCCUGAUGGAGCGACGCCGCGUGAAGGAUGAAGGCCCUUGGGUCGUAAACUUCUUUUCUAUGGGAAAAAUGUAAUGAUGGUACCAUAGGAAUAAGAGGUUGCUAACUCUGUGCCAGCAGCAGCGGUAAUACAGAGACCUCAAGCGUUAUCCGGAUUUAUUGGGCGUAAAGCGCGUGUAGGCGGCUUUGUUAGUCAGACGUCAAAUCUCCGAGCUUAACUCGGAAACUGCGUUUGAAACGGCAAAGCUAGAGGGAGCAAGAGACCAGUAGAACGUAUGGUGUAGCAGUGAAAUGCGUUGAUAUCAUACGGAAUACCAAAGGCGAAGGCAUCUGGUUGGGGCUCGCCUGACGCUGAGACGCGAAAGUGUGGGUAGCGAAUGGGAUUAGAUACCCCAGUAGUCCACACCCUAAACGAUGCAGACUAGGUAUCGGGAGAAUCGACCCUCUCGGUGUCGUAGCUAACGCGUUAAGUCUGCCGCCUGGGAAGUACGAGCGCAAGCUUAAAACUCAAAGGAAUAGACGGGGAUCCGCACAAGUGGUGGAGCAUGUGGUUUAAUUCGACGACAAGCGAGGAACCUCACCAGGGCUUGAAACUAUGCUGCAUUGUACAGAAAUGUACAAGCCUUCGAGGGUGCAUAGCAGGCGUUGCACGGUCGUCGUCAGCUCGUGCCGUAAGGUGUUCUGUUAAGUCAGGAAACGAGCGCAACCCCUAUCGUGUGUUACAGUGUCACACGAGACUGCCCAGAACAAAACGCACUUCGUGCUCAAUUCUCAAUUUUCAAUUCUCAAUUUUCAAACAAUUUUCAAUGAAUUAAUUUUCAAUUUAGAAAUUUAAUCAUUGAGAAAUUAGACAUUGUUUAGAAAUUAGAAAUUGAAAAUUAGAAAUUGAGCGCUUAGCAAAGCGCGUUUCGUUCUGGGAGGAAGGCGGGGAUGACGUCAGAUCAGCGUGGCCCUUUGACGCCCUGGGCUACACACGUGCUACAAUGGCCGGUACAAAGGGUUGCCAAGUCGCAAGACGGAGCUAAUCCCAAAAAACCGGUCUCAGUUCGGAUUGAGGUCUGCAACUCGACCUCAUGAAGCUGGAAUCACUAGUAAUCGCGCAUCAGCCAUGGCGCGGUGAAUACGUUCUCGGAUCUUGUACUCACAAUAAAAGCGCCGGGCAGUUUAAAUUUCCAAGAAGUUAGAAUCUUCUCCUCU
Molecule: ribosomal RNA, 1543 nt
Filed under: Minisyncoccota bacterium
Lineage: Bacteria; Bacillati; Minisyncoccota
Description: bacterial SSU rRNA
Rfam family: Bacterial small subunit ribosomal RNA
Source: RNAcentral